This is a long non-coding RNA of Lineus longissimus, 4070 nucleotides long. RefSeq lists it as uncharacterized. The record is from RefSeq and is a predicted model, not a curated record. Lineage: Eukaryota; Metazoa; Nemertea; Pilidiophora; Heteronemertea; Lineidae. The transcript is spliced from 2 exons.
UAUGGAAUAGAUCGCGUUCUGUCAAUUCAGAGGACAGGAAUGAUCUGCAGCUGCAUUUGAACAUAUUUGGUGACCACAUCUCAAAGAUGACCAAGACUAAAGAGAGAGGAUCGAGCUAUGACUUUGCACAUCCCAUCGACUUCGGUGUUCACCAGUGCAAUCAUCAGAAGAGCCAGGCAAUUCUAGUAUUCAAGUAUUUCAUUCUGUAAUACUUACCUCAAAAUUUACUAAAUAAAGAAAACCACAUGUGGCAGUUGGUUAAAAAAAUCAAGUCUAUCUGUUUAAAGUUUUUACUUGCUAUCAUUAUUAUCAACAUUUCAAUGGUGGCAUUCUGCUAAGGUUUGUUAAGAGUUUCACUUGACUUAAGCAGGGUGUACACUAGUAAAAUAUUAGCAACAUUUUACCAACAUUUUACCAACAUUUUACCAACAUUUUACCAACAUUUUACCAACAUUUUACCAACAUUUUUACAACAAUUUUGCAACAAGCCCUUCAAGGCCCUGUGUUCACUAGCAACAAAUUAGCAACAUUUUUACAACAUGUUGGUAAAUUGUUGCAAACUUUUUAGUGGGAACAAAGGGAAAUAGGUAUUUUGGAGGGAAAAUGGAUGAUUCCAAGGAGAGAAGAUGUGUUUUGAGUGCUUCUGCAGCAAUUUUAGCUGUCAUUGUUGAGAGAUGGAAGAGGCGGCGAAAUAACCAAAGAGAAUAUGGACCAGGCCCUGGAUCAAAAUGAGGGUGGAUGAUGGGGCAUACCACUGCCUGUUAAGGCCGCGUAUCCAUAGGGUAUGCCCUUGUGUAGUGUGGCGUUAUGGCGUAACAGCCUUGUGACCUGGCACUAUAGCUGCGCUUACACCACGAUAUAUUCGUGGACCAAUUGCACUUACACCACCACAUUGCCGCGACAAAUUGGUUCGGCAAUCCAUUGCCGAUACAAAUUGCCGAGCGAAUUUGUCCCACCAAGCUUGAUGGUCCAAAUCGCCCGGCUUGUUAAAAGCUCGGCUUUGUCGUGGUGUACGCGCAAAUGGAUCGGCAAUUAGCUAGUUAGAUGGUUCGGCUCCAGGCGGCGCUUUCAAAAUGGCGCUUUCUGCCAAGGCUUUCUGCGUUCUGCUUAUUGUUUGCGCGCCAUCUGUAGCCGGAUUUUAUAACUAGCUGCAGCGCUGGUGUAAGCGCUUGGUGGAUUUUCGAUGGUGCGGCAUUGGUUCCCGAACCAAGAUUGGUGGUCCAUUUUCAGGUGGUGUAAGUGCGGCUUAUGCCCUGCGUCUCCAUUGGAUAUUCCUUUUUGGUCAUGUAGGCCUUUGUAGUCCUCAUUUCGCAGCAGUCAAUCGCGUUUAUCCGCACGCUGUCAUUAUUUCAGAAGACAAUUUCUUAUGAAUAUUGAAAAUGAAAAUACAAGUAACUUGUAUUUUCACUUGCAACAUCAAAUUGACAUGUACAUGUAUAUAAAACCUGACUUUUAAGCAACAAAUUACAGGUUCGUGCUUGUUAUGAUAAUCAUCAGUUUCGGGGUCCCAGAGUAGUUCCCGUUGAUGAACCUCUUGAAUUAAUUUCGCCUCAGACAUUGCUUCCGUGUUGUUCCCUCGCAAAAGAAUGGACAUGUUCAAUCCCAAUAUGGGCCUAUAUUCCCAAUCCACAGUGCAUAUAUGCCCGCAAUGUGACACGGCAUAACCUAUGGGAACGAUCAAUAACACCAACGAAGGUUCAUUGUCCGUGUGGCGCGCCAGGCGGUAAAAAGGGAAUGUUGUGCAGGGCACGGAACAGCCUAUGGAUACGCAGCCUAAAGGAGUUGCGGCUGACUGACAAGCCGUCAUACAAAAACUUCUAGAAAAGGUUUCAUCACCCUACGAAGCAAGACACUCACUUGAGAGUUGCUAUACCUGCUUCUUGUUCAAGUCACAUGAACUCCGGUAGAUCACAUGACGCAAAUCCUAUUUCUGAUUGGCUGAAGAGUUUGCAACAUUUUUACAACAUGCAACAAAGAAUUGCAUUGCAUUUAAUUUGCAACAAUUUUACAACAUGUUGUAAGACGCGUUUUGCUCUGUACACACUACGCAACAUUUUUGCAACAUUUGUUGCAACUGGAAAUGUAAAAAUGUUGCUAAUAUUUUACUAGUGUACACAGGCCUUUAGGCAAUAAUGUUACCCUUUUAGUUAGGGAAACUGGUGCCUUCUGCAUUAGGUGGACCCCACUUACUCAUCUGUCAGACCGGCCUCACACGUCGGCAGUAGAGUUUAAGGUCCAGUCUGCGAGAUUUACCCAUUUCUACCCAGCCAAAAGCGGGUGAUUGGGCUAGUCUCUCCAUGUGAUUCAAUUCGCAUGGAUUCUUGUGUCCCGGUGCUAAAAGGAUCCCUCCACAAGGGCAGACUACAUCCGGUGGCACUGAAGUAUGGAAGAAAGACAGAAGACGACCAAUUUGCGAAAAGGAUCAUCAUCAUCAUCAUCAUGGUAACAGCUGAGGAUGAAUCAUGUUGCUGUGUGUAGAAUUGAUGGUCCAAUAUAGGUUAGGUUAUCUGUUUGCGCACACAUUGCAAGGGUGGUGCUUGCUUGAAGUAGAUUGCGCCAGUCUACCGCAAUUCACUGUUACACAUCCAGAAGCUAUUAUCCUUAGGCUUUGAGUCCUUAGUUUAGUAGAGUUUGACGAGUAAUGUAAUAUAUACGAACAACGCAGCAACAACUCAGCUGAGCGCCAGGCCCUUGGGCCUCUUGUUAUUAUUUUGUACAUUGUUGACAGCCUUUUCUGCUUGUUAUGCAUACAUGUUUGUCUGUGUAGACCUCCUGAUCUGAUCUUUAUCAAAACUAGAUAAUUUUUGUCUGUAUAUGUAUAUUUGUAUCCAGACUAUAAAAACAACAAUUCUGAGACAUUUUAAAGAGAAAUGUUUACACGUACACAAACCUCUCCAAAAUACUCGUGGACCACGUCCUCCAUAAGUACAUGUACGACAUAGCCACCUCGAUUGUUAGUUCUCAGGUCAGGGUCCUGAUAUCCUCGGGGCUAUAAUGCUUCUGUGGGGAGCUAAUGGGCUGAGGUUAAGGUCUCUAUGUGGUAUUUGACCAACGCGAGUCCUUUUAUGCUAUACCGUCCUUCCGAAGUGUGUAAUAUAAACAAUAUAAUACCUCCAGUAUUUGAAUCAUGGCAGUUACUGCAUGAUAUGGAAGACAUAAGAAUCAACUCGACACCUUUACAACAGUUAUUGAAAGUCUUAUGCUGCCUUCUGCUAUGAGAAUUUUGCAACUUGUCUUUUGACAUCAGUGAGAGAUCACAGAAGUUGUUCAUUAUGACCAUGUGAAAGCAAAUAUAUUAACAUAUUGUUGCCAUGACAAUCAAAAUGUCGUCAUUUUCUGCUGUUUUGUAUUGAUUUGAAGUCGGUGCUACAAUGAAAAGUGAGGUCAAGUGGAAUCAUUGAAAUGGGAAAAAUCUCCUGUCAUUCAAAGUCAUUGAUGAUAGUAUGGGUAGCCAAGUUGUAAUUUGUAUCAGUUGAGUGGUAGCUAGGCCCUGUAUAGCUACGUUCAUUCUCUGUAGCUGAAAAAUGUUGACAUCAAUCUACCGAGUAGAUGGCUGAAAAGUGUAAAUGGACUUUAUUUGAAUUAAUAUAUUCAAUUGAGAUAUAAGAUAUAUUGGCAGAAGUGUUUUGAAUAAUAUAUUCCUGUAUAAAAAUGGAGGUAAAAGUCUUUGUAGUGUUUUUUUUUUACUUUGCUUUUUAUUUGCCGAGCACUGUGUUCAGUUCACUUGUGAGUAGAUUUUCAAAUACCCGUUUAUACAGUAAAUGGCUAAAUUUUUGCAGGUGUUUUAUUUUCACAGAUUUUGCAAAUAUUGUUCUCUGAUCUGUAGAAAAAAGUCAAUUUUUUGGUGGAAAAAUCUAGGAAACUUCAAAAUCUGUAAACUAAAAUACAGAAAUUUGUGCAAAUUGCGAAAAAAUGAAAUGAUGCAAAAAUGUUGCGGUUUACAGUUGUUGGAGAAAUAUAUGCCAAACAAUUGGCAACAGGUUAUUUAUUUUGAUUUCUAUUGAAGCAUUUUUGUAAAUUGUGCACCAGUUUUGUCGUUUAGAGAAUACAUAUUUAUGUAGACUUUAGUA